Gossypium raimondii (Peruvian cotton) is the source of this 1372-nucleotide RNA transcript. RefSeq lists it as uncharacterized. NCBI's taxonomy places the organism in Eukaryota, Viridiplantae, Streptophyta, Magnoliopsida, Malvales, Malvaceae. The transcript has 9 exons. The record is from RefSeq and is a predicted model, not a curated record.
UAUCUGUCAAUCCCCUCAUAACCCACUAAGCUCAAACUCACUGCUUUCCUCCGGAAAGUUUGCUUCUUUGCUACCAAAUCUUAAAGCUUUUGCUUUUCAACAUCCAUGGCUUUAACUCUAAACUUAAAACCCAUCAUUUCUCUAUCCUCUUCUUCAUUUCAUCACCAUCCUUCUUCUUUCUCUCCCUUUUUUUCUAUCAAAACCCAGACCAAGCCUUUCUCUUUCACCACAAGAAUCCAUAAUCUCCAAUACCCAUCUCUCAGUCUCACAUUCUCCAGGAGGUUCUUCAUUCUUCCUUCAGUUUCUGGAAUCUGGGAUGCUUUAACUGGCAAUAACAAUCCCAAAGAUGCUGUAAUUGCUAUAAGACGUGGAAUGUUACUGUUUAGGCAGGGUGAUGUGUCAGGUUCUGUAGUGGAGUUUGACAAGGCAAUUGAAUUAGAUCCCCGACAAAAGGCAUAUCUUUGGCAAAGGGGAUUAUCAUUGUACUAUCUUGAUAGGUUUGAAGAAGCUGCAGAGCAGUUUAGGAUAGAUGUUGCUGAGAACCCUAAUGAUACUGAGGAAUCAAUUUGGUGCUUUCUCUGUGAAGCUCAAUUAUAUGGAGUCGAUGAGGCAAGGCAACGCUUUCUAGAGGUUGGAAGAGAUCCACGGCCUGUCAUGCGGGAAGCUUAUAACUUGUUUAAAGAUGGAGGUGACCCAGAAAAGCUUGUUGCUGCUUUCACCAAUGGACCACAGUACUUCUAUGCAUCUUUAUAUGCAGGACUUUACUAUGAAUCUCAGAAGAAAGCAGAUGCAGCCAAAGUUCAUAUACUUUCAGCAUGCAACUCUCCUUAUGGACAUAGGUCCGAUGACUACAUGGCUUCCCUUGCCAAAGUUCACUGUCUUUGUCGAAAUUGGACCUCUGAGUGAAGUUCCUCACUCAAGCUUAGUAAAAUGAAUUUAAAAGCUGGUUUCAGAGAAAAAAGUUGAAUAACUCACCGCAAUAACACUCCAUAUGCUUCAGUUUUUGGCUCUGGCAACCACGAAAAUCGGAAGAACGGAUACAAAGUUCGGGUCUAAACUCCAUUAUUGCUAUACUUCAGGAAACUAAUUUGCAGAAGCAAGGAUUUGAUUAAGCCUUAACCCAAACUUAAGAUGCAAAGUUGUGAUAUUUUGAAGAUUCUAAGACAAUGUUUUUAGAUUGUUUGUACCUCUAAAUAGGCUCCAAGUUAGCGUACAAUGGAUAGUUGACAAAAGAGCAAGCUUUAACACCUGUUGACAGUGACAAAAUAGUUCCUUUUUGAAGUUUCAAGUACAACUCUGGGUGAUUUCACCUUUGUUUCUUAAUCUAAAAAAUACCCACUCGAUGAAUCCUUAAAAGGGUAAUUCAUAAAUU